This 442-nucleotide ribosomal RNA is filed under the name uncultured bacterium. RNAcentral describes it as "bacterial SSU rRNA". It matches the Rfam family "Bacterial small subunit ribosomal RNA", at positions 28 to 507 of the family's 1533-position model. The record is from RNAcentral.
GAUGAACGCUGGCGGUAUGCCUAACACAUGCAAGUCGUACGAGAGUUUUUAACUCUAGUGGCGGACGGGUGAGUAACACGUGAGAAUUUGCCUUUAGGAGGGGGACAACAAUCGGAAACGAAUGCUAAUACCCCAUAUGCUUUCGAGUGAAAUGGAUUUUAUCCGCCUAGAGAGAAGCUCGCGGCUGAUUAGCUUGUUGGUAAGGUAAGAGCUUACCAAGGCGACGAUCAGUAUCUGGUUUGAGAGGACGAUCAGACACACUGGAACUGAGACACGGUCCAGACUCCUACGGGAGGCAGCAGUGGGGAAAUUUUCCGCAAUGGGCGAAAGCCUGACGGAGCAAUACCGCGUGAGGGAAGAAUGCCUAUGGGUUGUAAACCUCUUUUUUCAGGGAGGAAUCAAAUGACGUGUACCUGAAGAAUAAGCAUCGGCUAACUCCGUG